CCUGUGAGGAGGGCUAGAGUUCAGUUUGAGGCUGGUGCUUGAGAUUGGAGGAGCCCUGGAGACUACUUUCCUUCAGAUUGGUCACUAAAUGCUAUGAAGAAUAUGAAGGAAAUAUCUCUAUAAGGGCAAAGAGCUAAUUGGAAAGAAGACAUAGAGAAUGCAUGAAAAAUAUCAACAUUAAAGAGGAAAUAAAUGAUGUUAAAGAAGAUCAAAUAAGAUGGCAAAAAUAUUUCCCACAAGGUUGAUUCUGAGUCCAAGUAUGACACCCUACAAAUAAGACCUAUGCUCCAAAAGGUUUUCCUAAAGCCACAGAGUGACCACCUCCUGCCUUUAACAACUGGUCAUCCUUCCCAAGAGUGCCGGGGCUACUUCUCAUUAUACACCCAUACCUCUGUGUGGAGCCUGCUGUCAAAACACGUAGUUAGCCAGCAAAUGCUGUUUGGGAUGUUUCAGAGUCUGCCCCACUGCUCCCUGCCCCUUCCACAUUAGAGCUUUUACCACUGUGAGAAAUCGUCUUGGCUCCCUUGGGAUUCAUUUCUUGUUCCCAAGCUACCCAUCAUUCUAACCCCAGGGGGCCUGAGAGUCAAGUUCUCUUCCAGCACUCUCCUCAUAUGGAAUUUUGGACAAAGGGGAAACAUGAUAUCAAGAGAAAACUUUCCAAUUAUAUAUAGGAACAGUAAAGUAAGAGAAUUUUUUUAAACUGCCUAAUAGAGGUAAGGAAUAAGGGCUGGGGGCCAGCUAGGUAGCUCAGUGGAUUGAGCCAGGCCUAGAGACAGGAAAUCCUAGAUUUAGUCUCACUGUGUGACCCUGAGCAAGUUGUUUAACCACACAUUACCCAGCCCUUAUAACUCCAAUGCCUUAGAACCAAUACCUAGUAUUGAUUCUUAGACAGAAGGUGAGGGUUUUUAUUUUUUUUUAAAAGGAAUGAAAGAUGGAGAAGUUGAGAAUUUUGUCCUAAAGGCACCCUUCCAAAAGUGACUUAAAAAUGUUAAUGCUUUAGACUCUGCUUUUAUUAGCUUUGGCAUAUUUGUAUCCUGGCAGGUAGAGAUCUUACUAGUUAAACAGGUUUUCAACAGUUAUUUAAAUCUGUUAUAGAAAUCGAAUGUUUUCAUUAACUUUCUUUUUGGUCUCUCAGCUAGAGAGAACUCAGAAUUUAAAAUCCAAGAAAAUAGCUUCAUUAAGAUUCCAAAGAAAGAUAAAGAGUGACAGAAGGAACACUGGCACUUAGAAGCUGAGACAAAAAUAUGUCUGACUCUGCUAAGUUCUGUUUUUCCCAAGAGUGAUUGCAAGGCAAAUCCAGUUGCAGAAUCCAUAAAAAAAAAAAAGCCACAGUGAGUCAUUUGUCCAGUCUACUUCAGCCUAAAGAGACAGACUGGGAGGUGUUUGAAUGCUGGGUCAGGAUCAUGCUGAUCAGUUCUUCCAGAACCCAGAGAGAAGCUGGGUAGUAGAGCCAGAGAAAGUUCCAAACUCAAAACAGGACUUUACUAGAUUGAUACUGGGCACUUAGAUGUCAGACCAGACAGGCAGCAACCAGACUAAAUUUACUUUGAAUUAGACCUCUUUGGAAGCACUGAAACCUUGCAGAUCCCCAAACUGAGCUAUCCCUAAGAUCCUAAAAUACCCCCAAAAAACCCAGACUAUCCUUCCAGAAGGACCCCAGAACCCAGCCCUAACAUUAAGUCUGAAACCAGA
Molecule: non-coding RNA, 1692 nt
Organism: Monodelphis domestica (gray short-tailed opossum)
Lineage: Eukaryota; Metazoa; Chordata; Mammalia; Didelphimorphia; Didelphidae
Source: RefSeq, a predicted model, not a curated record